GGUUUUAGUGGCGAACGGGUGAGUAACACGUAAGCAACCUACCCUAAAGACGAGGAUAACCAUUGGAAACAGUGGCUAAGACUGGAUAGGAAGAUAAAAGGCAUCUUUUAUCUUUUAAAAGACCUAGUAAUAGGUAUGCUUUAGGAGGGGCUUGCGCCAUAUUAGUUAGUUGGUAGGGUAAUGGCCUACCAAGACGAUGAUGUGUAGCUGGACUGAGAGGUUGAACAGCCACAUUGGGACUGAGACACGGCCCAAACUCCUACGGGAGGCAGCAGUAGGGAAUUUUCGGCAAUGGAGGAAACUCUGACCGAGCAACGCCGCGUGAAUGACGAAGUACUUCGGUAUGUAAAGUUCUUUUAUCAAGGAAGAAAAGCAAAUGGCGAACCAUUUGUUUGCCGGUACUUGAUGAAUAAGCCCCGGCUAAUUAUGUGCCAGCAGCCGCGGUAAGACAUAAGGGGCAAGUGUUAUCCGGAAUUAUUGGGCGUAAAGGGUGCGUAGGCGGUCUAGUAAGUCAGUGGUGUAAUGGCAACGCUUAACGUUGUCCGGCUAUUGAAACUGCUAAACUUGAGUUAGAUAGAGGCGAGUGGAAUUCCAUGUGUAGCGGUAAAAUGCGUAAAUAUAUGGAGGAACACCAGAGGCGUAGGCGGCUCGCUGGGUCUUAACUGACGCUGAGGCACGAAAGCGUGGGGAGCAAACAGGAUUAGAUACCCUGGUAGUCCACGCCGUAAACGAUGAGUACUAAGUGUCGGGUUAAACCGGUACUGAAGUUAACACAUUAAGUACUCCGCCUGAGUAGUACGUACGCAAGUAUGAAACUUAAAGGAAUUGACGGGACUCCGCACAAGCGGUGGAUCAUGUUGUUUAAUUCGAAGAUACCCGAAAAACCUUACCAGGUCUUGACAUGUUUUUGCAAAAUGAUAGUAAUAUCGUGGAGGUUACCAGAAACACAGGUGGUGCAUGGUUGUCGUCAGCUCGUGUCGUGAGAUGUUAGGUUAAGUCCUAAAACGAGCGAAACCCUUAUCGUUAGUUGCCAGCACGUUAUGGUGGGGACUUUAACGAGACUGCCAAUGAUAAAUUGGAGGAAGGUGAGGAUCACGUCAAAUCAGCAUGCCCCUUAUGACCUGGGCUACAAACGUGAUACAAUGGCUGUUACAAAGGGUAGCUGAAACGCAAGUUCUUGGCCAAUCCCCAAAAACAGUCCCAGUCCGGAUUGAAGUCUGCAACUCGACUUCAUGAAGUUGGAAUCGCUAGUAAUCGCGAAUCAGCAUGUCGCGGUGAAUACGUUCUCGGGGUUUGUACACACCGCCCGUCAAACCACGAAAGUUGGCAAUACCCCAAAACGGUAGCCUAACUCGUUUAUUCGAGAGGGCGCCGUCUAAGGUAGGGUCGAUGAUUGGGGUUAAGUCGUAACAAGGUAUCCCUACCGGAAGGUGGGGAUGGAUCA
This 1444-nucleotide ribosomal RNA is filed under the name Jahrom(Iran) sesame phyllody phytoplasma. RNAcentral's name for it is "bacterial SSU rRNA". It matches the Rfam family "Bacterial small subunit ribosomal RNA". Lineage: Bacteria; Bacillati; Mycoplasmatota; Mollicutes; Acholeplasmatales; Acholeplasmataceae. The record is from RNAcentral.